RNAcentral lists this long non-coding RNA (1064 nucleotides) under Monodelphis domestica (gray short-tailed opossum). RNAcentral's name for it is "lncRNA (ENSMODG00000033436.2)". Lineage: Eukaryota; Metazoa; Chordata; Mammalia; Didelphimorphia; Didelphidae. The record is from RNAcentral.
UUUAUCUUAUAAUGUGGUGAUUAAAAUAGCUUUUGUGUUCUUCCUCGGAGGGAACAAAAAAUAAUUUUUCUGAUGGCAGGAGAAACUACUAUACUAUGAAACCAGUACAAAAUGUGAGGACAUUUUAGGCUGAUGAUGCCACUGGCAGCUCAAAGAUGAGUCUAUGUGGGUGUGGUACACAGGGUGCUGCACUUGUAGUAAAGGGACCCAGAUUCUAGUCCUGACUCUUCCACUUUCUGCUCCGGGUGACUCUGGAUGACUAAAGUUCCUUGUUGGGCUUCAUUUUCCUCAUUUGUAAAAUGAGAGAGUUGGAUUAGGGAUCUUGAAAGUCUCUUAUAGUCCUAAAAUUCUAUGAUCCUGUGAUAUGCCUUCUCCAAUUUAAGGGGAAAUUUUUUUUUUUGGUAUUUUGUAAAAAGAAAAUAAUUUUCAAAAAGAAGCUAUGGAAAUCAGAGGAAUCCAGGCAAAGGACUUUGGUCUUGACAUUUGAAAAUGGAGAUGAAAAUUCAAAAAUCACAAAGGAUAUUGCUUUCCAUCACUGCUCCUUUGCAUUGACUCUUCUGGGAAUAUGGAGGUGGGACACAUGGCUCAGUUUGUGAUCAGGAACCAUCAGGGGUUCUCCAGAGUCACCAAGAUAAAGGAGAGGAAAUUGAGACGUGAAGAGAGUUGGCCAAGAUUAUAGUGAUAGAAAACAAGAAGACUGAAAUUAAACGUAUGAAACCUCUGACUCCAAAUCUGAUGCUCUUUUCACUAAAGCAAGCUGCAGUUCACUCAGGACCACUCUGUGCAAUUCUGGGAGGAUAUAGAGCCUAGUCGGGGGGAGGGAAAGGGAGAAAGGAGGAGGGUAGAGAGAAAGGGAGAGAAAAGGGAGGGAGAGGCAAAGAGACAAAGGAGAACACUACAGAAGGGGUGUCCUGGGCCCCAUAAUAACUCCAGGUCGUAUGCUCUUAAAGGCCAUUAUGAAACAGUGCAGAUGAGAUCUCAUUUAUGAUUUUCCCAUCAGACUAAUGCAGUGAUUGGGUGAGGUGGGGUGGUAGUGACUGGCUGGAAAUCUCCCUGAGCAGUUG